This 1914-nucleotide unclassified non-coding RNA is filed under the name Leishmania donovani. RNAcentral describes it as "gene:unknown". Lineage: Eukaryota; Euglenozoa; Kinetoplastea; Trypanosomatida; Trypanosomatidae. The record is from RNAcentral.
GCGAGGAGACUACCUUGCACACUUGGCGCAGGACGUGCACGCGCCGCAAAAAAAAAGUCAUCAUAACGCUUCGGCAGCGCUCAUAUGGGCAUGCAAGCAUCGACAUCCUCGGCGCUGCGCAGACGCAGACACUUCCCUCAUGCGUGCAGGGGUCGCGUUCGCCUCUCAUCGCAGUUUGCCUGCGGCUGUUCUCGAUGAAAAGUCAACGACAAAGUUGACGGGCUUGCCGAGCCGGCAACGCCAGAGGAGCCGGCGCCAGCUGCAGGGAGAACGGACCCUGGCCAGAGCUCGCAGACGCGAGGCCGACAUCCCGCGAAACCGUGCGACACGCUGAGACGAGAGCUCCUUGGCGGCCGCCGUCCAGCACUGCGGAGGAACAGCGGCCUUGAGCGUGUGAGAUGAGCGGAGACCAUCCUCGCCCAGCUCGGCACGGGCGCCUGCGCGUACUUUGGCUUCGCGCAGCGGCGGGUGACUCGCAGCGGCAGCGUGGCGUGAAGACGGUGUGCUGCCUGUCACUGCGCUCGCGUUGUGGCGUGCCCCUCCCCCGCCCCCGCCUGUGCUUGCUGUGAGGGGGACCGGCCUGGCGUUGUGCCCGGCAUGCGAGGCGAGGUUGGCGGAUGGGUCGAGGCUGAGAGCGCGCCUCGUCUCACUCGCGGCGCGUGCGCCUGCCCCGCCGAGUGUCCAGCGCUGCCUCCCUGUACGACCCCUCAGGGGAGGGCGUGCCAGGGGCUGUCUCUGCGCAGGCGCCGCCGACCACAGCUUGCAUGGUGCAUCGCAUCGAAGCACGGCAUGCAGAGGGGAGGGGCGCACGCGUGAUAGACGCAAGAGACGCGAGGGGGUGCAUAUGAACCAGCCCCCAAGAGUGCGUGCGUGCGACAUGCGCGGGAAGCCCGACGAGAGCGCCCCGAACUGCACCGUCGGGUCCUGCAGACUCCGACGUGGAGAGUCGCCGCAGGGUACUGUUUGUCUGCCGUGGCUGGAAGCCGCGGAGGGAGAAGCACAGCACACAGGCAGCGUGUGCAGGCCCUCAGAGGGCCGUGGCCUGCAGCUGACGAGCUUCCUUCUCGGGCCCGUCCGGCACGCGGCUAGACCACCGCCUGUUUGGCCACACGAUAUAGACGCCGCUGCUUCCGCCGCGGAGCAGGGGGCUGGACGCGGCUGGCUUGGAUCCAAGGCAUGCGCCCCCCCCCCCUGAGGUCCGUGUGGCGCCGACCGCGCGGCAGGUAUGCAAGGAGGGGGCGAGGAGGGACGGGCAGAGUCUGUUAGACGCGUGACCCAGUUCGACGACAGGCCGGCUCGCCCUUGACGACCCGGAUGGGGCCGCGGUGCGACAGAGGUGUGGUGAGCUGUGGUUGUGCGCGCGUACGCUUGCGGACUUGUUGUUGGGAGUGACGUGUUUCGAAGAAGCCUCUUUGUGCCUGUUUGGCUCUUGUUCGCGCACGCCUGCGCAGAGGUGCUUUCGGCGGUUUUGUCUGGGGGACACGCCCCCGCCGCAGCCUUGGUUUUUUCCUCUCUCGUUUCGGCUGUCUUGUUCAAACUUAUGUUUUGCCGGUACUCGUGGGUUUUGAGAGUGGCUGCGUGUGUGGUGGGUGCGCCGUGGUGUGCACGGAGGUCAGAAAGGGUCUCUCCGUGUCUUUCUGGGACGUUUAUUAUAGGCGGUAGUACAGGUUCGAUGAUAUGCGCUUUUCUGAGGGCAAGGCACAUCGCAUACGGCAUGGAAAGCGCCUGCCGUGGCAGCGCUUAUUUCACCUUCGAACCAGCGUUCUACCCAUGGACGUGUUCAACGGCGAAAAGCGGAGGCGUAGAGAGAUGCUUGAUAGAAGAGUGAGUGGUGAGCGUGCGCAGGUCGAUCGGAGAAUGUGGGUUCGCAUUCAGCGGGGUGUGGCGGAGGCUGAUGGGCCGGGGUCUACGCAU